AUUGAACGCUGGCGGCGUGCUUAACACAUGCAAGUCGUGCGGUAACAGGCGUAGCAAUACGUGCUGACGAGCGGCGAACGGGUGCGUAAUACAUGGGAAUCUGCCCUUUAGUGGGGAAUAACCCGGCGAAAGCCGGGCUAAUGCCGCAUAAGAUCUUCGGAUGAAAGCGGGGGAUCGUAAGACCUCGCGCUGAUGGAUGAGCCCAUGUCGGAUUAGCAGUUGGUGAGGUAAAGGCUCACCAAGGCGACGAUCCGUAGCUGGUCUGAGAGGACGGCCAGCCACACUGGGACUGAGACACGGCCCAGACUCCUACGGGAGGCAGCAGUGGGGAAUAUUGGACAAUGGGGGAAACCCUGAUCCAGCGACGCCGCGUGUGUGAAGAAGGCCUGC
This 390-nucleotide ribosomal RNA is filed under the name uncultured bacterium. RNAcentral's name for it is "bacterial SSU rRNA". It matches the Rfam family "Bacterial small subunit ribosomal RNA", at positions 29 to 419 of the family's 1533-position model. The record is from RNAcentral.